GUUUUGCCAGGUUAAUGGCUUGCUGCACCAUGUCUACCCCUCCGACAAGCACUGCACACUUAAUACCAAUGCCAGACCCUAAAGCUUCAAACUGCUCAGCUAUCUGAAUUGCAAGCUCCCUUGUGGGAGAGAGCACACAGGCAAAAAAUGCUUGAGGAGCUUCCAAGAGAGCUUGCAAAAUGGGAAGAGCAAAAGCUCCAGUUUUCCCAGAACCAGUUUGUGCAAGUCCAAUUAGAUCCUUUCCUUCUAGGGCAUGAGGAAUAGCCUCCGCCUGAAUCUUUGAUGGAUUUUUCCAGCCUAAACUCUCGCAUGCCUCCACCAAUUGCUCACAUAUUCCUAAGCUCUGAAACGUCUUUACCUCUUCUUCACUGUCUUGCUCCAUUGCCACCGUUCAAUCUCAAACCUUGACCGAUUUGAGCUUCAAACGAAUACCCCCCGUGAAAUCACCUCACGAGCUCAACCACUUGUGACUAAUCGGAACCCACCGUGAAACACACAGCAACAACCGUCGUCUGAUGCUACCAGAAAACCAAGACCCACGCCGUUUCCAGCCCCAGCACCGAGAGACCCACAGCCUACGUUAAAGCCUUCUUCACAGAGACCCACGGCGGCGUAAUUCCGUCUGUGAACCGAGACCUCUAAAAAU
Molecule: unclassified non-coding RNA, 646 nt
Filed under: Hevea brasiliensis (rubber tree)
Lineage: Eukaryota; Viridiplantae; Streptophyta; Magnoliopsida; Malpighiales; Euphorbiaceae
Source: RNAcentral